GAACCGUCCAAACGUUUAUUCGGAAUCACUGGGCUUAAAGGGUGCGUAGGCGGCUUGGCAAGUUGGGUGUGAAAUCCCUCGGCUCAACCGAGGAACUGCGCUCAAAACUGCCAGGCUAGAGGGAGAUAGAGGUGAGCGGAACUUAUGGUGGAGCGGUGAAAUGCGUUGAUAUCAUAAGGAACACCGGUGGCGAAAGCGGCUCACUGGAUCUCUUCUGACGCUGAGGCACGAAAGCUAGGGUAGCGAACGGGGGAUUAGAUACCCCGGUAGUCCUAGCUGUAAACGAUGAGCACUGGGUUGGAGGCUCCUCCAUAGGCUUCCGGCCGAAGCGAAAGUGUUAAGUGCUCCGCCUGGGGAGUAUGGUCGCAAGGCUG
Molecule: ribosomal RNA, 374 nt
Filed under: uncultured organism
Description: partial 16S ribosomal RNA
Rfam family: Bacterial small subunit ribosomal RNA
Source: RNAcentral